GGAGAGGUGCCGGAGCUUGGUUUAACGGAGCGCACUUGAAAUGCGCCGUCCCUGAGAAGGGACCGUGGGUUCGAAUCCCACCCUCUCCC
Molecule: transfer RNA, 89 nt
Rfam family: tRNA
About the family: Transfer RNA (tRNA) molecules are approximately 80 nucleotides in length.